CGAAGAACCUUACCUACUCUUGACAUCCAGUGAACUUAGCAGAGAUGCUUUGGUGCCUUCGGGAACACUGAGACAGGUGCUGCAUGGCUGUCGUCAGCUCGUGUUGUGAAAUGUUGGGUUAAGUCCCGUAACGAGCGCAACCCUUGUCCUUAGUUACCAUCAUUUAGUUGGGGACUCUAAGGAGACUGCCGGUGACAAACCGGAGGAAGGCGGGGACGACGUCAAGUCAUCAUGGCCCUUACGAGUAGGGCUACACACGUGCUACAAUGGCAUGUACAAAGGGUUGCCAAGCCGCGAGGUGGAGCUAAUCCCAUAAAGCAUGUCGUAGUCCGGAUUGGAGUCUGCAACUCGACUCCAUGAAGUNGGAAUCGCUAGUAAUCGUGAAUCAGAAUGUCACGGUGAAUACGUUCCCGGGCCUUGUACACACCGCCCGUC
RNAcentral lists this ribosomal RNA (435 nucleotides) under uncultured Gammaproteobacteria bacterium. RNAcentral describes it as "bacterial SSU rRNA". It matches the Rfam family "Bacterial small subunit ribosomal RNA", at positions 962 to 1398 of the family's 1533-position model. The record is from RNAcentral. Lineage: Bacteria; Pseudomonadati; Pseudomonadota; Gammaproteobacteria.